Molecule: long non-coding RNA, 1554 nt
Filed under: Manihot esculenta (cassava)
Lineage: Eukaryota; Viridiplantae; Streptophyta; Magnoliopsida; Malpighiales; Euphorbiaceae
Description: long non-coding RNA (MESC_LNC012625)
Source: RNAcentral
UCCUUUUUCCAUGAUCUUUACAAGUUUAUAACUUUGGUUUUGAAGAUCUUUGAGCUUAGAACGAGUUUUGGAGUUUGGAGACCAAAAGUUGGAACUUCCCCCAUCUCCAAGUUUAGAUCUCCUCAACCCUCGAUCUUCAAGAGGUAAGAGCCGAUCUUAAGCUCAAUGUAUGAUUUAAACAAGUUUUAUGAAGUUUUAAGGGGUAGAAUGCAUGUUAGGGUAUAUGUUAAACCUAUGGGUUUUUGAUGACUUUUUGAACAAUGUAGCUUGAUUGUGUGUGAUUGAAGUGUUGUAGAUGGGGUAUAUGCAUGUUUGAGGCCCCUAGGAACUUGUAUGCAUGCUUUGGUUGAACAAUAUGCAUGUUUGGAAGGUUUGGAGGCGAAAUGUGCUAAGGGAGCCAAGUUUCUGCCCUUUGGCAGAAACCAGGUUCGGCAGCCGAAGGUACUUUCGGCCGCCGAACAUGGCUAGGGAGGCAGGCCUUUCGGCUGCCGAAGUUGCCCCCGAAAAGAGACUUUCGUCUCUGUCUGGCACUUUCGGCCGCCGAAGGUGCCGCCGAACCUACCUGAGUUUCGUCUCUGUCCAGGACUUUCGGCCGCCGAAGGUGCCGCCGAAAGUGCCCUGUUCAGCCAUUUCUUGCAUGUUUUCAUGUGAUGUUUUCAGGAUGUUUUAGGGGGUUUUUGGGGAGUAUUUUAGAGUCAUGUUCAUGUAUGUUUGGUGCCUCAUUUGAGUCCACCUGUGUAGGUUCGGACCCGAGGAACCAAGACCCCCGGUUGUGAGAUAGUCGUUCAGAGUUCGUUGUUAAAGCUUCAGUUACCAAGUGAGUGGAACAACCCCCUUAAGCUUUAAAGUAAAUGAAUAAAUGAAUGAAUCAUAAAGCAUUGCCCAUGCAUCAUUAUGCCAUGCAAUAUUAGGUUGUUUGCAUUAGAAUUCACGAAUAUGUUGCAUUGCAUACUUUGUUGUUGAUGUGGAUGAAUGUUGAAUGAUCCAUUAGCCCUUGUAUGUCAUGAUAGCCUAUGUGAGUCCAGGUGUGCCUGCUACGGCUCUACGCCCCUGGCACUAUGACUGAUUAUGGAAGUCCGGGUGUGCCUGCUACGGCUCUACGCCCCCGGCAUGUAUAAGUAAGAAAGAUUGGGGCUAAAUGGUGACAAGUUCAUCCUUGUUGUGAAAUGUUUGUGUUAUGGCGCAUACAUGAAAGCAUGAAUAAGAAAAAGUUAUAUGAUAAUAAUAAUAAUAAAAUGAAUAAUAAUAUACCUAAAAAUGGAGGAAUUAAAACAAAUGUUUUUAGUUUCUGCUCACUGGGCUCUAGUAGCUCACCCCACUCCCUUUAUCCCCAGAGUUGCAGGUACAGGAUAGAUCAAGAAGUCGGCUAGAGUGAAGUCAAGUCAUGUAUGUUGUAAUAGAUAGUAGUGGACAUGAACAUGAUGUAAUGAGUAUGUAUGACCAUGUAAUGUAAUGAAUGAUUUGAUGAUGUAUUGAGGAUUAUAGUAGUGCUUGACCUAGAGAUGUGUGAAUCCCCAUUAUGUACAGAGUGUUUAAUGAGUAAUGAUGUUAAUG